Molecule: ribosomal RNA, 1029 nt
Filed under: Akanthomyces dipterigenus
Lineage: Eukaryota; Fungi; Ascomycota; Sordariomycetes; Hypocreales; Cordycipitaceae
Description: SSU rRNA
Rfam family: Eukaryotic small subunit ribosomal RNA
Source: RNAcentral
CAUUAUACAGCGAACUGCGAAUGGCUCAUAUAUAAGUUAUCGUUUAUUUGAUAGUACCUUACUACUUGGAUAACCGUGGUAAUUCUAGAGCUAAUACAUGCUAAAAAUCCCGACUCCGGAAGGGAUGUAUUUAUUAGAUUAAAAACCAAUGCCCUCUGGGCUCCUUGGUGAUUCAUAAUAACUUUUCGAAUCGCAUGGCCUUGCGCCGGCGAUGGUUCAUUCAAAUUUCUUCCCUAUCAACUUUCGAUGUUUGGGUAUUGGCCAAACAUGGUCGCAACGGGUAACGGAGGGUUAGGGCUCGACCCCGGAGAAGGAGCCUGAGAAACGGCUACUACAUCCAAGGAAGGCAGCAGGCGCGCAAAUUACCCAAUCCCGAUUCGGGGAGGUAGUGACAAUAAAUACUGAUACAGGGCUCUUUUGGGUCUUGUAAUUGGAAUGAGUACAAUUUAAAUCCCUUAACGAGGAACAAUUGGAGGGCAAGUCUGGUGCCAGCAGCCGCGGUAAUUCCAGCUCCAAUAGCGUAUAUUAAAGUUGUUGUGGUUAAAAAGCUCGUAGUUGAACCUUGGGCCUGGCUGGCCGGUCCGCCUCACCGCGUGCACUGGUCCGGCCGGGCCUUUCCCUCUGUGGAACCCCAUGCCCUUCACUGGGUGUGGCGGGGAAACAGGACUUUUACUUUGAAAAAAUUAGAGUGCUCCAGGCAGGCCUAUGCUCGAAUACAUUAGCAUGGAAUAAUGAAAUAGGACGUGUGGUUCUAUUUUGUUGGUUUCUAGGACCGCCGUAAUGAUUAAUAGGGACAGUCGGGGGCAUCAGUAUUCAAUUGUCAGAGGUGAAAUUCUUGGAUUUAUUGAAGACUAACUACUGCGAAAGCAUUUGCCAAGGAUGUUUUCAUUAAUCAGGAACGAAAGUUAGGGGAUCGAAGACGAUCAGAUACCGUCGUAGUCUUAACCAUAAACUAUGCCGACUAGGGAUCGGACGAUGUUAUUUUUUGACGCGUUCGGCACCUUACGAGAAAUCAAAGUGCUUGGCUCC